Long non-coding RNA from Triticum dicoccoides, 232 nucleotides. RefSeq lists it as uncharacterized. NCBI's taxonomy places the organism in Eukaryota, Viridiplantae, Streptophyta, Magnoliopsida, Poales, Poaceae. The transcript is spliced from 3 exons. The record is from RefSeq and is a predicted model, not a curated record.
GCCAAAUCUCCAUGUCGUUGUCGCCGUCGUCCUCGUCACAGACCCCCUCCGACCUCGAGGAAAUGUCGUCGAACGAAAGUCUCGAGGAGUGCUCUUGGUGCGACGACAACCGGGGUUUUGGCGACAUGCCUCACUUGGUAGAAGGUUAGCGCUUCAGCAUUAAGCUCCAGGAGACCUUCGAUGUUGAAACGCUUAUCCUAUGGCAUGCAAGACGCUAUGUCUUGGAGAUGAU